UGGAAGUGAAAGUCAGGGUCCCUCAGGAUUAAAGACUCUUAGGCUUAAGGGCUGUUAGAUUUCCAGAGAAACCUAUCAAAUAACCUUUUUUUUUUUUUUCCACAAAAGUGGACACGGAUCUUGGGAAUGGAAGGUACUUGUAUAUCCAUAUACAGGUUUGGCCCAAACCAAAGCCAGGAGGUGUUGGGGGAGGACUGGGCUUCUACCCCAGUCUCCAUGAUGGCCCUCAGCCUUAAUUAGCAGCCUCCUGCAAAAUGAAACAACGUGCUUGUUCCAAAGGGUACGAUAAAGGUCCUGACAGCUGCCUCUCACUUCCAAUCAGAUGUGGUCCUCAAAUCCCUGCAUAGAGAAACUCACCGAAACAGCACAGAGAAACACACAGACAUGCUCGCAAAGCACACAGAGACCUACCCAGAUAGGUACGACACACACACACACACACACACACACACACACACGGUUGGAGGUUCUGCUUGGAGUCACACGGCACACAAGAUUGCUGUCAAGAAAGCCUGUCCAUAAAUAGUGGCUGUACACCCUCCUCACUUACAAUUCAGGGAAAAGAAGAGCGGGGAAGAAAAGGAGGAAAAACAACAACAACAAAAGCCAUGACAGAGAGCGGGAAAAGGCAGAGACUGAAAGCGAAGGAGCGUCGGAGGAGGAGGGCGAGAGGGCUGGAGAGGAGGGCUCAUCCGAGGAGGUGGGCGAGGAGGGCUCAUCCGAGGAGGUGGGCGGGGCGGGCUGUGCGGAGGGUGCGGCCCGCGCGGUACCCGCCCCGGCGAGGCGCUGGGGAGGCCCGGGAGGGGGGAAUAAACGGGGCCUGGGGGACGGUAGGAGCCUCCGUGCGGAGACCACUGUUAAAGGCCACAGACAUUUAUGCAGUGUGUGAUUCUUUCUAAAACAACUCCCUGGAAGAGAGGACAUUUAAUUCAACAAUUUAUUGGCCACCUACUGUGCACCAGGCAGUAAACUUGGAACUGGGGCUACUGGGUUACAGCAGUGACCAAGACAGAGGUCCCUGUUCUUAAGGAGCAAGUGAGGGCAACAGAAAAG
Molecule: long non-coding RNA, 1053 nt
Filed under: Pan troglodytes (chimpanzee)
Lineage: Eukaryota; Metazoa; Chordata; Mammalia; Primates; Hominidae
Description: long non-coding RNA NONPTRT009062
Source: RNAcentral